This is a long non-coding RNA of Raphanus sativus (radish), 485 nucleotides long. RefSeq lists it as uncharacterized. Lineage: Eukaryota; Viridiplantae; Streptophyta; Magnoliopsida; Brassicales; Brassicaceae. The transcript has 3 exons. The record is from RefSeq and is a predicted model, not a curated record.
CAGAUACAUAUAUUGAACUGAUGCAGCUGGAGAAGCUUGUGAAAAAAGUUACGGAUUUGCCAGAUGACUUGAAGACAAAAAUUAGCUUAAUUCCUUCUCAAGGGGCCCUUCCAAGAGCUUCUGCUGUCUCAAGGAAGAGGUUGCGCUUGUUACUGGUAGACAACAUGAGAUAAUGCUUCAAAUGGACAUACUGAGCAAACUUGUUCACGAGCAUCUUGUAGAAAGGUCACGCAAAGAGAGAGUAGACAGCGACAGAACAAACAGCACAACGCAGAACCUUGGGCCUUCCACUGUACCUGUUUUUCUUGCUUUGGCCAUUGGCUGCAUCGGCAUCCUUGCCUACAAUCUCAAAUAGUUGCUGUAACAGCUAGUUAACUCACUGCUAAAACUCAGGGUCCGUGGAAAAAAAAAUAGUGGAUAAUGAUGAUGUAAAUAACAGAGUUUGUGUGAUACACACUGGAUAAUUCAGUCUUGACGAUGUAUAU